RNAcentral lists this unclassified non-coding RNA (410 nucleotides) under fungal sp. Its description in RNAcentral is "partial internal transcribed spacer region". The stretch from base 1 to 46 matches the Rfam family "Eukaryotic small subunit ribosomal RNA", at positions 1786 to 1831 of the family's 1831-position model. The record is from RNAcentral. Lineage: Eukaryota; Fungi.
AAGUCGUAACAAGGUUUCCGUAGGUGAACCUGCGGAAGGAUCAUUAACACGUAUCCAAACGUUUGAACAUUGAUUCCUGCCCUUGUAACCCGCGAAGCUUGCAAUCUCUGGUAAAUCAUAGCCCGGAAAGUAGUUUUGAUUCAGAGACCUCUUGCCCGUGCGAAAAUUGGAACAGUUACAAUUCGAGCGGUAGUUCUAUAGGCCUUGUUUCCCCAAGCAGUCAGUGUCUGAAAGUGUCAGUGAUUGUGCAAGGAUAACGCUUCACGAUUCUUGUAGACCGCAUCUCGCGGGCAGGAGCUAGGCCAAAGGGUCCCCAUGCCCCCUUACAACCCCACAGUUAAAUGUGAAGCUCAAUGUAAUACAUUGGGUAAAAAACCGAACAACUGUUAACAAUGGAUAUCUUGGUUCUC